GACGAACGCUGGCGGCGUGCUUAACACAUGCAAGUCGAACGGAAAGGCCCUUCGGGGUACUCGAGUGGCGAACGGGUGAGUAACACGUGGGUGAUCUGCCCUGCACUUUGGGAUAAGCCUGGGAAACUGGGUCUAAUACCGAAUAGGACCACGCGCUUCAUGGUGUGUGGUGGAAAGCUUUUGCGGUGUGGGAUGGGCCCGCGGCCUAUCAGCUUGUUGGUGGGGUAAUGGCCUACCAAGGCGACGACGGGUAGCCGGCCUGAGAGGGUGACCGGCCACACUGGGACUGAGAUACGGCCCAGACUCCUACGGGAGGCAGCAGUGGGGAAUAUUGCACAAUGGGCGCAAGCCUGAUGCAGCGACGCCGCGUGAGGGAUGACGGCCUUCGGGUUGUAAACCUCUUUCAAUAGGGACGAAGCGCAAGUGACGGUACCUAUAGAAGAAGCACCGGGCAACUACGUG
RNAcentral lists this ribosomal RNA (462 nucleotides) under uncultured bacterium. RNAcentral's name for it is "partial 16S ribosomal RNA". It matches the Rfam family "Bacterial small subunit ribosomal RNA", at positions 28 to 507 of the family's 1533-position model. The record is from RNAcentral.